UUGUAAACUUACACACAAAAAUCCCAUACACACACGUCUAUAAAAAUGUAUCUUUUAUCCCAUUUGGUUCUUAGUGGCCAGCAGUAGGAGAAGUCCUUAGGAAAAUGGAAUAUUCAGCGCCGUUCCUGCCGUUCCUGCCGCCUCCUGCCGAAGAUGAUGAAUGGCCUGCGUGUGUUAGUUUUAUGUGGAAGGAAACAUGUGAAAAAGUUCACAUCAAUUUGCUCCAGAAUACGUAAAGCUUACAAGCUAUCGGCCACUAUCUUAUGAUCAAAGUCGUUGCCAGGCUCCCAAACGUUUCGAGAACCACGAAUAUAAUACCUUUUAUGAGGUGAGUUCUUUG
RNAcentral lists this small RNA (340 nucleotides) under Drosophila pseudoobscura pseudoobscura. Its description in RNAcentral is "GA30810". Lineage: Eukaryota; Metazoa; Arthropoda; Insecta; Diptera; Drosophilidae. The record is from RNAcentral.